This 279-nucleotide unclassified non-coding RNA is filed under the name uncultured fungus. RNAcentral describes it as "partial contains small subunit ribosomal RNA, internal transcribed spacer 1, and 5.8S ribosomal RNA". The stretch from base 1 to 73 matches the Rfam family "Eukaryotic small subunit ribosomal RNA", at positions 1759 to 1831 of the family's 1831-position model. The record is from RNAcentral. Lineage: Eukaryota; Fungi.
GCAAACUUGGUCAUUUAGAGGAAGUAAAAGUCGUAACAAGGUCUCCGUUGGUGAACCAGCGGAGGGAUCAUUACCGAGUUUACAAACUCCCAAACCAUUGUGAAUCUUACCUCUUUGUUGCCUCGGCGGGACCGCCCCGGGUGCUUCGGCGCCCCGGACCCAGGCGCCCGCCGGGGGCAUCAGACUCUCGCAGUAUAGUGUAUAUCUGAGUGGAUUAGCUAAAUAAUCAAAACUUUCAACAACGGAUCUCUUGGUUCUGGCAUCGAUGAAGAACGCAGC